RNAcentral lists this small RNA (832 nucleotides) under Pan troglodytes (chimpanzee). RNAcentral describes it as "retained intron". The record is from RNAcentral. Lineage: Eukaryota; Metazoa; Chordata; Mammalia; Primates; Hominidae.
UGACUAGACUACAUGCAAUAGAUAAGGUUUUCAAAAGAAACACUGUGAAAUGUCAAAUAAUUUUGCAAACUAUAGAUUAUUUGCACUUAUGAAAUUAAGAAGGCGCUAAAUCCUCUAGGACCUAGGUAGAAAAUACGCACACCCAGUAUUUGCCUCCAACUCCUGAUUAGUAAUUUAAACAUUUGCCUUAUUUCCACUUGUUGCCUACUCUUUUGAAGGUAUAAUAAUUUUGAAAAAAUAAUAUUGCUAUAAGUUGACCUUCAUAGGUUUGGGUCUUAAGCACACAGAAUGACUGCCCUUUUUUUUUAGAUAAAAAAGGAUUUUUCCAGAAUGCGGUGCUGUUUGCAUUUCAGAAAUUAAUAUGCUCCCCAUUACAAUUUCUUUUUUCUUUUCUUCCUUCAAGGGAAAUGCGAGGGCCUCCUGCUUCACUCUGUAACUUGUGUUGGCAGGAGUACAGUCUGACGAAUCACACAUAUAAUCCUAAACUCUUUCUCCUGUUUUCGAUUAGCAUCUAUGGGUCUUGCAGAUAUGAUGUCUCCUGGUGAAUCCAAACUGCCCCUGCCUCUCAAAGCAGACGGCAAAGAAGAAGGCACUCCACAGCCCGAGAGCAAGUCAAAGGUACUUCCUUCGCCUCUGCACGCGGUGUGGGGUCUGCCUAGCAAAAAGCUGCCAUGUCGUUCUCUCUUCACUGGUGUUGGCCGACACUUUUUUUUCAUUUGGUCUCCUCUGCAUGCCUUCAUUUUGUGCAACAUGUUUGUAGUCUUCUUUUCUUUCCCCAGCCCCUUCAUGGUGUGGAUCUGAAAGUUACUAGUUCUUAUGGCAUUAACUCACG